This 939-nucleotide ribosomal RNA is filed under the name uncultured archaeon. Its description in RNAcentral is "bacterial SSU rRNA". It matches the Rfam family "Archaeal small subunit ribosomal RNA", at positions 5 to 924 of the family's 1478-position model. The record is from RNAcentral.
CGGUUGAUCCUGCCGGACCUUACUGCUAUCGAGAUGGGACUGAGCCAGGCCAGUUGAGCGACCCGAACUAUGGCGGGGAGCAGCAUACUGCUCAGUAACACGUAGCUAACCUACCCUCAGGGCGGUAAUAACCCCGGGAAACUGGGGUCAAUGACCGAUAGAUGUGAAUUCCUGGAAUGGUGUCACAUCCAAACGUCAGCACACCAUGUUGUGUGAACGCCUGAGGAUGGGGCUGCGGCCGAUCAGGCUGUUGGUGGGGUAAUGGCCCACCAAACCUUUGACCGGUACGGGCCAUGAGAGUGGUAGCCCGGAGAUGGACACUGAGACAAGGGUCCAGGCCCUACGGGGCGCAGCCGGUACGAAACCUCCACAAUGCACGCAAGUGCGAUGGGGUUAUCUCGAGUGCCGCCUGAAGAAGGCGGCUUUUCCAUUGUCUAAAUAGCCGUGGGAAUAAGGGGGGGGCAAGACUGGUGUCAGCCGCCGCGGUAACACCAGCCCCCCGAGUGGUAGGGAUGUUUAUUUGGCCUAAAGCGUCCGUAGCCGGUUUGGUAAAUCUCUCGUUAAAUCCAACGUCCUAAGCGUUGGGCUGCGAGGGAGACUGCCAAGCUAGAGGGUGGGAGAGGUCAGCGGUAUUCCUGGGGUAGGGGCGAAAUCCUUUGAUCCCAGGAGGACCACCAGUGGCGAAGGCUGCUGACUAGAACACGCCUGACGGUGAGGGACGAAAGCUGGGGUAGCGAAUCGGAUUAGAUACCCGAGUAGUCCCAGCCGUAAACGAUGCAGACUAGGUGUUGGGGCGGCCACGCGCCGCCUCAGUGCCACAGGGAAGCCAUUAAGUCUGCCGCCUGGGGAGUACGGCCGCAAGGCUGAAACUUAAAGGAAUUGGCGGGGGAGCACCACCAGGCGUGAAGCCUGCGGUUUAAUUGGAUUCAACGCCGGAAA